Long non-coding RNA from Astatotilapia calliptera (eastern happy), 1702 nucleotides. The record is from Ensembl. NCBI's taxonomy places the organism in Eukaryota, Metazoa, Chordata, Actinopteri, Cichliformes, Cichlidae.
GAGUUGUACCCCCUCUUCUGCCUUCAGGGAGUGAAGGCAGAAGAGGGGGUAGAAGGUUAUAUUGAAAAAGGCAGGGUCAAUACAUUUCACCUGUCAGUGGUUUUAAUGUUGUUGCUGCUGCUAUGUAAAAAUGGUAAAUGGCCUGUAUUUGUAUAGCGCUUUACUAGUCCCUAAGGACCCCAAAGCGCUUUACACAUCCAGUCAUCCACACGCACAUUCACACACUGGUGAUGACAAGCUACAUUGUAGCCACAGCCACCCUGGGGCGCACUGACAGAGGCGAGGAUGCCGGACACUGGCACCACCGGGCCCUCUGACCACCACCAGUAGGCAACGGGUGAAGUGUCUUGCCCAAGGACACAACGACCAAAACUGUCCAAGUCGGGGCUCGAACCGGCAACUUUCCAAUUACAAGGCGAACUCCCAACUCUUGAACCACGAUCGCCCCAAAAUGUGUAUUUUAUAACCUGAUUCUUCUGUUUCACUUCUCUUCUGUUCUUUUAUUGAUAGACACACAGAGAGGGAGCUUUGAACCAGUUGAACUGACAGAAGUUGACACCAAAACAGGUUACCAAAAUAAAGUGUCACGGACCCGGCUCUGGAGGACUCGGGGGUCCGUGAGCAGUUUGGACUGUUGUUGUUAUUAUUAUUAUGAUUAUUAUUAUUAUUGUUGUUAUUUGGUGAUGUGUGUGUCUUUCUGCACAAUGCUGUGUUAGUCUGUGUUCCACUCAUUAUAUGUAUAGGCAGGGUGUGGGUGUGUACAUGUGUGGCUGGAGGAUGGAGAACAGCCACAUGCAGGCCUGAUGGGUGUGCCCCUGCAGGAGGACUGGCCACACCGGAAGUUCCUGCCACACACCUGUUGGUGAUCAGGGCUCGUUGGGGGAGCUACUUAGGAGAGUGUUGGAGCUCCCACCGGCGUGGGAUCAUUGAGUUGUCUACCCAAGUGGAAGAGUGGACCAGAACGGCAGCACACACAGGGUGUGCGAGAACACAACAGCGGGUAGCACGAGCACAGACGUUGGAGGGGAGCACACACACACAGGAUUCAAGGGAGCAACGGGGAGUUAUUGUGUUUACAGCCUUCGCUGUAAAUAAAGUGCACUGUUUGUAUUGCAGAACCAUGCGUUUUGGGUCCUCAUUCCCCCAUAUCCCCAUGGUCUGCCAGCCAGACCGUGACAUAAAGAGCCUAUGACCUAAAGGUUUAGGUGCAUACAUGCAAACUGCAAACAUGAGACAGUGGUAAAAUCUAACCAUGUACUUCUAGUUAAGUAUGUUUUGAAGAAUUUGCAAGUUUUCACCCACCUUAAAAAAACCUUGUUUACAAGGCAAGGUUUUCUAGCGCAGUGUUGUAUGCAGUUUUUUAUGUUAUAAUAAAUUUAGUGCAUGAAGUUGAGUGUUUUACAAAUGAGGCACUAAACUUAUUAAUUGAAUAAACAACAACCAGACUGGCUGUAAAGGCCUUGAACAUCAAUACAUGGAAACAUUAAUUUACUCCCUCCAGCUAAAGUCAUGACAUAUGAAUGAUAAUAUUAUGCAUGUCUUGUAGCCUUUCACUUCAGUUUUUACUUUUGAUACUUCAGCUGAUACAAUGAAGAUGAUAGAUGCACAUAUGCGUACAUAAUUUUAGAGCAUCUUUUAGUGCAGUUCUGUUGAGGUCUUUUUUUUCUAUUAUUAGUGUUACCUUAAUAAAACUCUUGAAUAC